GUGAACCGCCCUCGAGUGGAGCUUGCCUCGGUCUGUGAACCGCCCUCGAGUGGACCUUGCCUCGGUCUGUGAACCGCCCUCGAGUGGAGCUUGCCUCGGUCUGUGAACCGCCCUCGAGUGGACCUUGCCUCGGUCUGUGAACCGCCCUCGAGUGGACCUUGCCUCGGUCUGUGAACCGCCCUCAAGUGGAGCUCGCCUCCCGUGUCCGCGAGCUGCGCUGAUCUCGGAGCAGAUUUCCCCACCGAGGACCACUGGCACCGGAAAGCAGCAUCCCUCAUCGGGAACCCCGCCACCCAGGCCGUGUUCUCUUCUUGCUGCUGCCAUCGGGCAGGAGGUACAGGAGCCUCAGGACUCACACCCACAGGUUCAGGAACAGUUAUUACCCCUCAACCAUCAGGUAGAAGGUACAGGAGCCUCAGGACUCACACCCACAGGUUCAGGAACAGUUAUUACCCCUCAACCAUCAGGUAGAAGGUACAGGAGUCUCAGGUCCCACACCACCAGGUUCAGGAACAGUUACUACCCCUCAGCCAUCAGGUAGAAGGUACAGGAGCCUCAGGACACACACCACCAGGUUCAGGGACAGUUAUUACCCCUCAACCAUCAGGUCCCACACCACCAGGUUCAGGAACAGUUAUUACCCCUCAACCAUCAGGUAGAAGGUACAGGAGCCUCAGGACACACACCACCAGGUUCAGGGACAGUUAUUACCCCUCAACCAUCAGGUCCCACACCACCAGGUUCAGGAACAGUUAUUACCCCUCAACCAUCAGGUCCCACACCACCAGGUUCAGGAACAGUUAUUACCCCUCAACCAUCAGGCUCCUGAACCGAUGUGGGUAACUUCACUCGCAUCUACUGUGAACUGAUUCCAUGACCUAAAGACCCAAUUUCGAGUUCUUGUGUUAACUAUUUUAUUUGCAGUUUGCCAGCUUUAGGCAUAUUGAUAGAUUAAUCCUUCUUUGAUCAGUCAAAGUGAAUUUGUUAUUGGAGUACGUGUAGGUCACUUGACAAUACCCUGAGACCCAUCCAGUACAGCCAGUCUUGAAACAGAGGCUUGGACUGUGUGCAGGAGAGCUAUCUCAGCUUAUCUUUCCUGUUUGAUCUUUGGCCUCACAGUUUUUUUUAAUUAUAUUUUUAUUUAGCAUGGGAUUCGAGCGUCACUGGCAUUUAUUGCCCGUCUUUAAUUGCUGAUAGCUGAACUGGGAGUUUGCUAGGCCUUUGAGUGGCCAGACCUGCUAAUGUCCAUGGGCCAGACAGGGUCGUGAUGAACCAGAUGGGGUUUUAUGCCAGCCUUGUAGAUUUGCCCUCAUUCACCACAGGAACGCUGUCGUGGGAGAGCAGCAUUCUUCACCAAACCAUACUCUCUUGCUGCUGCCAUCAGGCAGGAGGUACAAGAGCUUUAAUCCCACACCACCAGGUUCAGGAAAAGUUAUUACCCCUCAACCAUCAGGCUCCUGAACCAGUGAGGAUAACCUCAACUCUGAACUGAUUCCAUCGGGAAGGAGGUACAGGAGCCUCAGGUCCCACACCACCAGGUUCAGGGACAGUUAUUACCCCUCAGCCAUCAGGUCCCACACCACCAGGUUCAGGAACAGUUUUUACCCCUCAGCCAUCAGGUCCCACACCACCAGGUUCAGGGACAGUUACUACCCCUCAACCAUCGGGACCCACACCACCAGGUUCAGGAACUAAUCACCCCUCAACCAUCAGGUCCCACACCACCAGGUUCAGGAACAGUUAUUAACCCUCAACCAUCAGGUCCCACACCACCAGGUUCAGGAACAGUUAUUACCCCUCAACCAUCAGGUAGAAGGUACAGGAGCCUCAGGACACACACCACCAGGUUCAGGGACAGUUAUUACCCCUCAACCAUCAGGUCCCACACCACCAGGUUCAGGAACAGUUACUACCCCUUAGCCAUCAGGUAGAAGGUACAGGAGCCUCAGGUCCCACACCACCAGGUUCAGGAACAGUUAUUACCCCUCAGCCAUCAGGUAGAAGGUACAGGAGCCUCAGGUCCCACACCACCAGGUUCAGGAGCAGUUAUUACCCCUCAGCCAUCAGGCUCCUGAACCAGUGAGGAUAACCUCAGCUCUGAACUGAUUCCAUCAGGAAGGAGGUACAGGAGCCUCAGGUCCCACACCACCAGGUUCAGGAAAAGUUAUUACCCCUCAACCAUCAGGCUCCUGAACCGGUGAGGAUAACCUCAACUCUGAACUGAUUCCAUCGGGAAGGAGGUACAGGAGCCUCAGGUCCCACACCACCAGGUUCAGGAAAAGUUAUUACCCCUCAACCAUCAGGCUCCUGAACCGGUGAGGAUAACCUCAACUCUGAACUGAUUCCAUUGGGAAGGAGGUACAGGAGCCUCAGGUCCCACACCACCAGGUUCAGGAACAGUUACUACCCCUCAACCAUCAGGUCCCACACCACCAGGUUCAGGGACAGUUAGCACCCCUCAACCAUCAGGUCCCACACCACCAGGUUCAGGGACAGUUAUCACCCCUCAACCAUCAGGUCCCACACCACCAGGUUCAGGGACAGUUAUCACCCCUCAACCAUCAGGUCCCACACCACCAGGUUCAGGGACAGUUAUCACCCCUCAACCAUCAGGUCCCACACCACCAUGUUCAGGGACAGUUAUCACCCCUCAACCAUCAGGUCCCACACCACCAGGUUCAGGAACAGUUAUCACCCCUCAACCAUCAGGUCCCACACCACCAUGUUCAGGGACAGUUAUCACCCCUCAACCAUCAGGCUCCUGAACCGGUGUGGGUAAUUUCUCAUCCCAACGGUGAACUGAUUCCACAGCCUACGGACUCACUUCCAAGGACUUCUUACAACUGGUGUCUGCGUGCGUCGUCGUCUUCUCCACGUUGUUGUGGGGCUUUCAUGUGUAGUUUUCUUUCACAAACUCCACACUAUCGUCCUGAGAAUGCCUGCAAGAAAAAAAAAUGAAGCCUCGGGGUUGUAGAUGGUGACACCUACUUAGUUUGAUGGUGAAUCUUGCUUUAAUAUUUUAAAUCCUGGAGUCGCUCUCGUGCUCCCUCACUCAGAGCCUCCUUGCACCUCUCUCCCUGGACUAGGUGGGAACUUCACGGUGAACAUGUUGGGGGGGGGGGGGG
Long non-coding RNA from Hypanus sabinus (Atlantic stingray), 3125 nucleotides. RefSeq lists it as uncharacterized. The transcript is spliced from 2 exons. The record is from RefSeq and is a predicted model, not a curated record. NCBI's taxonomy places the organism in Eukaryota, Metazoa, Chordata, Chondrichthyes, Myliobatiformes, Dasyatidae.